Molecule: long non-coding RNA, 972 nt
Organism: Dioscorea cayenensis subsp. rotundata (Guinea yam)
Lineage: Eukaryota; Viridiplantae; Streptophyta; Magnoliopsida; Dioscoreales; Dioscoreaceae
Exons: 8
Source: RefSeq, a predicted model, not a curated record
GUCAGCUUCAUGUUCAAAUAUCAUGUCGAGUGUGAGAAAUCAAUGCUAAUCUAGUAUCUUAGUUGAAAAGUAAGUGUACCGAUGGCAUGUCCACAGAGUAAACAAUGUCGUUGAAGGGUUUUACUGAGAGAUAAUGAAAUAAUUGAUGAGUAUCAACAAUACCUUGCUGGCCAUCAAAUGGAUGACUGGACUUCUUUACUCUGGAAUUCAUUCACGGUCACUGAAUUCUGUGCAUACAUUACUGGGGAAGACCAAUAUCCCCAGAUCCACCAUUUCUUGAUAUUGUCUGCAGAAAUCGAGUGAUGAAGCCGCCAAGCACUAUAAGUAUUAACAUUGCAAAUGAAGCAAGUGUGUUUGCCACAACCUUAUCUCUGCCUAUUGCACCAACAAGCCGGAACAGUCCAGAGGCCAUUUGGCUGAUCAAUGAAAAUAUAAGGAAUUGCCUAAACAACCUACAAUGAGAAGAAUUUCCGGUUAGUCUGUGGCAGGACCUCAAUGCUUUCUUAUCUAUUCAUUGGCAGAAUUCUCAUCAAGCGAAUCAAUUCUCACCGCUGCACACUUGGAUCAAAGCCUAUAACAUAAAUACAGGUAGCUUGGCAACGCUCAUUGCAAGUUCUGCAAAUCCGUUGAACAUAUGAGUGGAAGGCUGUCAUUGUAAUGAAGGCGAGCAGCCCAAGCUGGGGAGAACAACAUCAGCAACUCAGACAAAUGCAUUCCUCUUCGUCAGCAGAAGCUCUCUUGAGAUGCAUGCCUUGAGUAAUUCACGCUUGCUAAUGCCAUAUCUUGUAGUCGUUAGAGCUGCCGGAUGGUUCUUGCUUCUGUCGAAAGGAGCGCUGAGUUCCUCUUGCAGCCUAUGCCCUACAUGGAAGGACUGGAAUGAAUCUAAAGUCUGCAACACCUUUUCUCUGAGGACAUUUGAAUCCCAUGGACUCAAAGAAGUCAAGCACAUGUUCUCGAGGGCCCUGAUAUACG